AACGAACGCUGGCGGCAUGCCUAACACAUGCAAGUCGAACGGGAUCCUAGCUUGCUAGGUGAGAGUGGCGGACGGGUGAGUAACACGUGGGAAUCUGUCCUUUUGGUUCGGGAUAACCGCGGGAAACUGCGGCUAAUACCGAAUGCCCUCGAGAGAGGAAAGAUUUAUCGCCAGAAGAGGAGCCCGCGUCCGAUUAGGUAGUUGGGUGGGGUAAAGGCCUACCAAGCCGACGAUCGGUAGCUGGUCUGAGAGGAUGAUCAGCCACACUGGGACUGAGAUACGGCCCAGACUCCUACGGGAGGCAGCAGUGGGGAAUAUUGGACAAUGGGGGCAACCCUGAUCCAGCAAUGCCGCGUGAGUGAUGAAGGCCUUA
RNAcentral lists this ribosomal RNA (373 nucleotides) under uncultured bacterium. Its description in RNAcentral is "bacterial SSU rRNA". It matches the Rfam family "Bacterial small subunit ribosomal RNA", at positions 29 to 419 of the family's 1533-position model. The record is from RNAcentral.